UAGAGAAAUAGGAAUUGAACCUAUAACUAAGAGAUCAAAACUCUCCGUAAUUCCAUUU
This 58-nucleotide transfer RNA is filed under the name Dendropsophus reticulatus. RNAcentral's name for it is "partial tRNA-Gln". Lineage: Eukaryota; Metazoa; Chordata; Amphibia; Anura; Hylidae. The record is from RNAcentral.